This 506-nucleotide ribosomal RNA is filed under the name uncultured Oscillibacter sp. RNAcentral's name for it is "partial 16S ribosomal RNA". Lineage: Bacteria; Bacillati; Bacillota; Clostridia; Eubacteriales; Oscillospiraceae. The record is from RNAcentral.
CACGUAGUUAGCCGUGGCUUAUUCAAGGGGUACCGUCUUCUGCUCUUCCCCCUUAAAAGAAGUUUACAACCCGAAAGCCUUCUCCCUUCACGCGGCGUUGCUGGGUCAGACUUGCGUCCAUUGCCCAAUAUUCCCCACUGCUGCCUCCCGUAGGAGUCUGGGCCGUAUCUCAGUCCCAAUGUGGCCGGUCAACCUCUCAGUCCGGCUACUGAUCGUCGCCUUGGUAGGCCGUUACCCUGCCAACUAGCUAAUCAGACGCGAGGCCAUCUUCCAGCGAUAAAUCUUUGACAUUCAAACCAUGCGAUUCAAAUGUGUCAUGCGGUAUUAGCAGUCGUUUCCAACUGUUGUCCCCCUCUGGAAGGCAGGUUCCUCACGCGUUACUCACCAGUCCGCCACUAAGCAUUCCUAUCCAUUGACCGAAAUCUCUUUCAAGGGUGCUCCGUUCGACUUGCAUGUGUUAAGCACGCCCGCCAGCGUCUCCGUCGAGCCGACGGAGUCAACCUACU